This 438-nucleotide ribosomal RNA is filed under the name uncultured bacterium. RNAcentral describes it as "bacterial SSU rRNA". It matches the Rfam family "Bacterial small subunit ribosomal RNA", at positions 340 to 773 of the family's 1533-position model. The record is from RNAcentral.
UACGGAAGGCAGCAGUGGGGAAUAUUGCACAAUGGGCGCAAGCCUGAUGCAGCCAUGCCGCGUGUAUGAAGAAGGCCUUCGGGUUGUAAAGUACUUUCAGUCGUGAGGAAGGUGUUAAGGUUAAUAACCUUAGCAAUUGACGUUAGCGACAGAAGAAGCACCGGCUAACUCCGUGCCAGCAGCCGCGGUAAUACGGAGGGUGCGAGCGUUAAUCGGAAUUACUGGGCGUAAAGGGCACGCAGGCGGUUAAUUAAGUUGGAUGUGAAAUCCCCGGGCUUAACCUGGGAAUGGCAUUCAAGACUGGUUAGCUAGAGUCUUGUAGGGGGGUAGAAUUCCAUGUGUAGCGGUGAAAUGCGUAGAGAUGUGGAGGAAUACCGGUGGCGAAGGCGGCCCCUGGACAAAGACUGACGCUCAUGUGCGAAAGCGUGGGGAGCAAAC